Molecule: ribosomal RNA, 861 nt
Filed under: Lactococcus lactis subsp. lactis
Lineage: Bacteria; Bacillati; Bacillota; Bacilli; Lactobacillales; Streptococcaceae
Description: bacterial SSU rRNA
Rfam family: Bacterial small subunit ribosomal RNA
Source: RNAcentral
CUCAGGACGAACGCUGGCGGCGUGCCUAAUACAUGCAAGUUGAGCGCUGAAGGUUGGUACUUGUACCAACUGGAUGAGCAGCGAACGGGUGAGUAACGCGUGGGGAAUCUGCCUUUGAGCGGGGGACAACAUUUGGAAACGAAUGCUAAUACCGCAUAAAAACUUUAAACACAAGUUUUAAGUUUGAAAGAUGCAAUUGCAUCACUCAAAGAUGAUCCCGCGUUGUAUUAGCUAGUUGGUGAGGUAAAGGCUCACCAAGGCGAUGAUACAUAGCCGACCUGAGAGGGUGAUCGGCCACAUUGGGACUGAGACACGGCCCAAACUCCUACGGGAGGCAGCAGUAGGGAAUCUUCGGCAAUGGACGAAAGUCUGACCGAGCAACGCCGCGUGAGUGAAGAAGGUUUUCGGAUCGUAAAACUCUGUUGGUAGAGAAGAACGUUGGUGAGAGUGGAAAGCUCAUCAAGUGACGGUAACUACCCAGAAAGGGACGGCUAACUACGUGCCAGCAGCCGCGGUAAUACGUAGGUCCCGAGCGUUGUCCGGAUUUAUUGGGCGUAAAGCGAGCGCAGGUGGUUUAUUAAGUCUGGUGUAAAAGGCAGUGGCUCAACCAUUGUAUGCAUUGGAAACUGGUAGACUUGAGUGCAGGAGAGGAGAGUGGAAUUCCAUGUGUAGCGGUGAAAUGCGUAGAUAUAUGGAGGAACACCGGUGGCGAAAGCGGCUCUCUGGCCUGUAACUGACACUGAGGCUCGAAAGCGUGGGGAGCAAACAGGAUUAGAUACCCUGGUAGUCCACGCCGUAAACGAUGAGUGCUAGAUGUAGGGAGCUAUAAGUUCUCUGUAUCGCAGCUAACGCAAUAAGCAC